AAGCCUCCAGUUCCGUCCACUAGAUUAUACGUCACGCAAGAAGCAUCACCUGAAAGACUCAUAUCGCCAUCUGCUGACUGGAGUGGGCAAUGCGGAGUAGGCAAUGCAGAUUGGAAAAAUAUUAAUUACAAUGUUCAUUCUGGCAAGCAAUGUCAUAAGAAGUAAUUUAAAAACAACCAGAUGUUAUUUUUUCUCUUACUUCUUACAGCCAAUCAUUUCCUCCAGGUCUGGCCUGCCCAUUAGGCAGGAUUAGGUGACAGAUUGACGAGGGUGGUGUAUUCCGAGCUAAAUUGAUCAAGGCCCAUUGUUAACAACACAUAAUAACACUUCAUAUAAUGAAGCAGUGCCCACUUUGCAUAAGGCUACAUGGACAGAUAGGGCUCUACCUGUGUAGAGCACAUGACCCUUUACCCUUCCUGUCUCUAAAGUGCCCUUUUGGGUGGUGGUAUAAUUUGGAUUCAUUUUUUCUCAUAGUUAUACUGAACCCACUGCCUGCAAGUCGUCGUUAAAUUAGCCUCAGUGAUUUGUAUUUUCCUUCAGCUUUGUUCCUGUUCCCAAGAAAGCUAAUGUAGCAGUGUGAUGUUGUUACCCUAGAUUGUGCGCCAAAUUGCACACAAGGACCAAUUCAAAUAGGCCAGGUCAAUAGGGGAUGUUAAUAAUUUGAUAAUAAUAAUAAUUCAGUGUGUUUUUUAAAUUUAAUUACAGCUGCAUAGGUAAUGUUAUUUUUUGGUGUACAAACACUUUUUCAUAUCAAUCUUGUACAUACACGUGAUUGUAAAAGUUUUGUAUAUUUUGGUUUGGCCCAUUGCGGGUUAUUUGUAUUACCGUACCCCCUUAUUGUUCUCUUUUGUCUGACCUUCGGCUAGCAAGUUAUGUUGUCCUUGGCUCCGAAAUUGUUCAAUAUAAAACCGUGGUAAUGUUACACAAUGUGCUGUUAUGCAACCAUAAGUUUGUUACAAUGUGGACAAUAUAAAGAUUUAUGUUAAGUUUCACUGAGCUCGCUAACUAGGGUACCUACUGUAACUUGUGAGUACUUGGGACAGUGUUUGAGUGACUGUCCAUGUGCUUGCGCACGUGCCUGAGAGCUGUGACAGCGCCAAGGGAUAAAGUAUUGUGUGUUGUCUCUUCGUGUGCAGGUGCCUGAGAGCUGUGACUGCGCCAAGGGCUAAAGUAUUGUGUGUUAUCUCUUCGUGUGCAGGGCAAAUAAAAAUAAUUCAACCAGCAGA
Molecule: non-coding RNA, 1226 nt
Organism: Salmo salar (Atlantic salmon)
Lineage: Eukaryota; Metazoa; Chordata; Actinopteri; Salmoniformes; Salmonidae
Source: RefSeq, a predicted model, not a curated record